GGUUAAGUGACUAAGCGUACAUGGUGGAUGCCUUGGCAGUCAGAGGCGAUGAAGGACGUACUAACCUGCGAUAAGCCGUGAGCAGUCGGUAAGAGACAUUACGACUCACGGAUUUCCGAAUGGGGAAACCCACUUAGCAUAAGCUAGGUAUCGCUGCGUGAAUACAUAGCGUAGCGAGGCGAACCGGGAGAACUGAAACAUCUAAGUACCCCGAGGAAAAGAAAUCAACCGAGAUUCCCUCAGUAGCGGCGAGCGAACGGGGAUUAGCCCUUAAGCAUCUUGGAAGUUAGUGGAACGGUCCUGGAAAGGCCGGCGAUACAGGGUGAUAGCCCCGUACACGAAAACAACCUUGAUGUGAAAUCGAGUAGGGCGGGACACGUGACAUCCUGUCUGAAUAUGGGGGGACCAUCCUCCAAGGCUAAAUACUCCUGACUGACCGAUAGUGAACCAGUACCGUGAGGGAAAGGCGAAAAGAACCCCUGUGAGGGGAGUGAAAUAGAACCUGAAACCGUGUACGUACAAGCAGUGGGAGCCCUUCGGGGUGACUGCGUACCUUUUGUAUAAUGGGUCAGCGACUUACAUUUUGUAGCGAGGUUAACCGUAUAGGGGAGCCGUAGGGAAACCGAGUCUUAACUGGGCGUCUAGUUGCAAGGUGUAGACCCGAAACCGGGUGAUCUAGCCAUGGGCAGGUUGAAGGUUGAGUAACAUCAACUGGAGGACCGAACCCACUAACGUUGCAAAGUUAGGGGAUGACCUGUGGCUGGGGGUGAAAGGCCAAUCAAACUCGGAGAUAGCUGGUUCUCCCCGAAAGCUAUUUAGGUAGCGCCUCGGACGAAUACUACUGGGGGUAGAGCACUGUUUGGGCUAGGGGGUCAUCCCGACUUACCAACCCCAUGCAAACUCCGAAUACCAGUAAGUAAUAUCCGGGAGACACACGGCGGGUGCUAACGUCCGUCGUGAAGAGGGAAACAACCCAGACCGCCGGCUAAGGUCCCAAAGUUCUGGUUAAGUGGGAAACGAUGUGGGAAGGCUCAGACAGCUAGGAUGUUGGCUUAGAAGCAGCCAUCAUUUAAAGAAAGCGUAAUAGCUCACUAGUCGAGUCGGCCUGCGCGGAAGAUGUAACGGGGCUCAAACCAGGCACCGAAGCCGCGGAUUCACGCUAAGCGUGAGUGGUAGGGGAGCGUUCUGUAAGUCUGCGAAGGUGUAUCGAGAGGUAUGCUGGAGAUAUCAGAAGUGCGAAUGCUGACGUAAGUAACGAUAAAGGGGGUGAAAAGCCUCCUCGCCGGAAGACCAAGGGUUCCUGUCCAACGUUAAUCGGGGCAGGGUGAGUCGACCCCUAAGGCGAGGCCGAAAGGCGUAGUCGAUGGGAAGCAGGUUAAUAUUCCUGCACGACUUGUAAUUGCGAUGGGGGGACGGAGAAGGCUAGGUGGGCCAGGCGACGGUUGUCCUGGUGAAAGUGCGUAGGUGGUGUUUCUAGGCAAAUCCGGAGACACAACACUGAGACACGAGACGAACACACUACGGUGUGGAAGCCAUUGAUGCCCUGCUUCCAGGAAAAGCCUCUAAGCUUCAGAUUACAAGUCAUCGUACCCCAAACCGACACAGGUGGUCGGGUAGAGAAUACCAAGGCGCUUGAGAGAACUCGGGUGAAGGAACUAGGCAAAAUAGUACCGUAACUUCGGGAGAAGGUACGCUCUUGUUGGUGAAGUCCCUUGCGGAUGGAGCUGACGGGAGUCGCAGUGACCAGAUGGCUGGGACUGUUUAUCAAAAACACAGCACUCUGCAAACACGAAAGUGGACGUAUAGGGUGUGACACCUGCCCGGUGCCGGAAGGUUAAUUGAUGGGGUUAGCGCAAGCGAAGCUCUUGAUCGAAGCCCCGGUAAACGGCGGCCGUAACUAUAACGGUCCUAAGGUAGCGAAAUUCCUUGUCGGGUAAGUUCCGACCUGCACGAAUGGUGUAACCAUGGCCAUGCUGUCUCCACCCGAGACUCAGUGAAAUCGAAUUCGCCGUGAAGAUGCGGUGUACCCGCGGCUAGACGGAAAGACCCCGUGAACCUUUACUACAGCUUGGCACUGAACAUUGAACCUACAUGUGUAGGAUAGGUGGGAGGCUUUGAAGGCGUGACGCCAGUUGCGCUGGAGCCGUCCUUGAAAUACCACCCUUGUAUGUUUGAUGUUCUAACGCAGGGCCCUGAAUCGGGCUCGCGGACAGUGCCUGGUGGGUAGUUUGACUGGGGCGGUCUCCUCCCAAAGAGUAACGGAGGAGCACGAAGGUUGGCUAAUCCUGGUCGGACAUCAGGAGGUUAGUGCAAUGGCAUAAGCCAGCUUAACUGCGAGACGGACAGGUCGAGCAGGUACGAAAGUAGGUCAUAGUGAUCCGGUGGUUCUGAAUGGAAGGGCCAUCGCUCAACGGAUAAAAGGUACUCCGGGGAUAACAGGCUGAUACCGCCCAAGAGUUCAUAUCGACGGCGGUGUUUGGCACCUCGAUGUCGGCUCAUCACAUCCUGGGGCUGAAGUCGGUCCCAAGGGUAUGGCUGUUCGCCAUUUAAAGUGGUACGCGAGCUGGGUUCAGAACGUCGUGAGACAGUUCGGUCCCUAUCUGCCGUGGGCGUUGGAUGAUUGAAGGGAGUUGCUCCUAGUACGAGAGGACCGGAGUGAACGAACCUCUGGUGUUCGGGUUGUCACGCCAGUGGCACUGCCCGGUAGCUAAGUUCGGAAUCGAUAACCGCUGAAAGCAUCUAAGCGGGAAGCGAGCCCUGAGAUGAGUCAUCCCUGACCCCUUGAGGGUCCUAAAGGGCCGUUGGAGACCACAACGUUGAUAGGUGGGGUGUGUAAGCGCGGCGACGUGUUGAGCUAACCCAUACUAAUUACCCGUGAGGCUUAACCAU
Molecule: ribosomal RNA, 2889 nt
Filed under: Aeromonas sp. FDAARGOS 1415
Lineage: Bacteria; Pseudomonadati; Pseudomonadota; Gammaproteobacteria; Aeromonadales; Aeromonadaceae
Description: 23S ribosomal RNA
Rfam family: Bacterial large subunit ribosomal RNA
Source: RNAcentral